GAUGAACGCUGGCGGCGUGCCUAAUACAUGCAAGUCGAGCGAACGGACGAGAAGCUUGCUUUUCUGAUGUUAGCGGCGGACGGGUGAGUAACACGUGGAUAACCUACCUAUAAGACUGGGAUAACUUCGGGAAACCGGAGCUAAUACCGGAUAAUAUUUUGAACCGCAUGGUUCAAAAGUGAAAGACGGUCUUGCUGUCACUUAUAGAUGGAUCCGCGCUGCAUUAGCUAGUUGGUAAGGUAACGGCUUACCAAGGCAACGAUGCAUAGCCGACCUGAGAGGGUGAUCGGCCACACUGGAACUGAGACACGGUCCUGACUCCUACGGGAGGCAGCAGUAGGGAAUCUUCCGCAAUGGGCGAAAGCCUGACGGAGCAACGCCGCGUGAGUGAUGAAGGUCUUCGGAUCGUAAAACUCUGUUAUUAGGGAAGAACAUAUGUGUAAGUAACUGUGCACAUCUUGACGGUACCUAAUCAGAAAGCCACGGCUAACUACGUG
Molecule: ribosomal RNA, 497 nt
Filed under: uncultured bacterium
Lineage: Bacteria
Description: partial 16S ribosomal RNA
Rfam family: Bacterial small subunit ribosomal RNA
Source: RNAcentral